Molecule: long non-coding RNA, 1674 nt
Organism: Fukomys damarensis (Damara mole-rat)
Lineage: Eukaryota; Metazoa; Chordata; Mammalia; Rodentia; Bathyergidae
Source: Ensembl
CACGUGUUAAACUUGUUUUUGACCCUGCACGGGAGAAACUCGGAAAGCCAAAGAUCUGUAGGAGUCAGGUGCUUCCUGUUAAGGAUCUGACGUUAUCUGUAGGAGUCAGGUGUUGUAACUCCAUUUUGUUAAGUUCCUCCACCUAUUUGGGAAUCAUGAUUAUUAGUUGCAAGUGUUGUUAAUUUGUUUUUCUUGAGCCUGCUUUCUCUUUCCCGUGUGAACCCUCGUUCCCGUGGAGCGGGUGUUGAGGUUACUAUGGUAAUCCUAGCCCAGAAUAGUUCGGUCUUUUCCUUUAAAAGGCUGAUGCCUGCCUGCAAUAAACGUCGCCUUGAUCAGACUCUUGUCUUGGCGUCCUUCCUUUCUCUCUGCCCCAUCUCCACCCCGCUGCUCUUUCAGGUUUGAGACACUGCUGGAUAGUGCUCUGCGUCGCUGGCUCGCGACACUUAUCUAUCAAUAUCUUGGGAUUUGGGGUUUAAUCCAAUUACUAAGAGUGGCUGAAUGAUUAAAAAACAACAGGACGAGGGACAUAAUUCUGUAGUAGGGCGCUUGCCUAUGUGUAAGGUUCAAUCUUCACUGCCACCAAAAACAACUGGGAGAAAAAAAACAGUAACAAACCCCACAAAGCAAGACCCAACAUUUCAGCUGUCCAAAAGGAGCUUAAUGGCGAUAGUCUCCAGCCCAUGUCCCGCCCAUUUCCUCGUGUCUCUACCCCCUUCCCGCCUCUUGUCUGCCACACCCCCGCCUCUGCCCCGCCCACCGCCCUGUUUUCUCCCUUUUCGGGCCUCUUCCUCCUCGCCCCGCCCAUUGGGUCUCGGGUCCCGCCCAGAACGGCCUACCUCCUCGCCCCGCCCCCUGGCCCCGCCCACCCCCGUGGAUCGCUCCUACAAGCCCGCCUUACAGUGGGCUGCGCGCGCAGCACCUUGCAGACCCGGAAGUGGUUCCUGUGGAGUGGAGGUCACAGUGCCGCGCAUUGACUGCUGAAGACUCACUGCCUGAGGAAGAGGUCCAGAAGUGAAGGAAAAGGAGUCAGUAAUGGCUUUUGCUCAGGUAAAGUUGUACUUGUGACUUGUUGGUCUCUAUCCCUCCUUUCUGAAGUGCUGAGUAUAGGAGCUGCUAAUCGCUGACUCAAGUCUCCUGCCUGACAUGUUUGCUUUCACUCACCUGUUCCUCCCUCAGCCCCUCUCAGCUCCAUCUAAGAUGCUAUUUCAGGGUGACCAGGAGACAUAGAUCAUGUGAGGAGGCUCUGUUGGGCGUGGUCCUGGAAACUAAAAGGUUUGAUACUACUUAACCACUUCAUGCAUCUCUGGGGCUAUUGGAAUAAGCCUUAUAGACCUGUUUUAUGUCUGUUUUUCUUCAUGUUUAUGUGUAAGUGGGUUGUAUGUUUCUAAGAAUGUACUCAUUUCUUCUAGGUUAUCCAGUCUGUUGGCAUACAGUUGUUUAUAGGAGUGUUUUUUUACUUCUGGGACAUCAAUUAUAUUAUUUCUUCUUUCCUGUCUAAUUUGAGUUGAGUUUUUUUCAAGUAGUCUAGCUAAGGGUCAGUUAUAUUGAUCUUUCCAAGCCAACUCUUGGUUAUUUUCAUCUUUGUAUUAUUUUUUAGUUUUCUAUUUUACUUAUCUCUGUGCUAAUCUUUGUUAUUUCUCUCUUUCUGCUAACUGUAUUUAGUUUAUCUUUUUC